RNAcentral lists this ribosomal RNA (465 nucleotides) under Vreelandella stevensii. RNAcentral's name for it is "partial 16S ribosomal RNA". It matches the Rfam family "Bacterial small subunit ribosomal RNA", at positions 338 to 795 of the family's 1533-position model. The record is from RNAcentral. Lineage: Bacteria; Pseudomonadati; Pseudomonadota; Gammaproteobacteria; Oceanospirillales; Halomonadaceae.
CCUACGGGAGGCUGCAGUGGGGAAUAUUGGACAAUGGGCGAAAGCCUGAUCCAGCCAUGCCGCGUGUGUGAAGAAGGCCUUCGGGUUGUAAAGCACUUUCAGUGGGGAAGAAAGCCUUGGGGCUAAUACCCUCGAGGAAGGACAUCACCCACAGAAGAAGCACCGGCUAACUCCGUGCCAGCAGCCGCGGUAAUACGGAGGGUGCGAGCGUUAAUCGGAAUUACUGGGCGUAAAGCGCGCGUAGGCGGUCUGAUAAGCCGGUUGUGAAAGCCCCGGGCUCAACCUGGGAACGGCAUCCGGAACUGUCAGGCUAGAGUGCAGGAGAGGAAGGUAGAACUCCCGGUGUAGCGGUGAAAUGCGUAGAGAUCGGGAGGAAUACCAGUGGCGAAGGCGGUCUUCUGGACUGACACUGACGCUGAGGUGCGAAAGCGUGGGUAGCAAACAGGAUUAGAUACCCCAGUAGUC